RNAcentral lists this ribosomal RNA (252 nucleotides) under uncultured bacterium. RNAcentral describes it as "partial 16S ribosomal RNA". It matches the Rfam family "Bacterial small subunit ribosomal RNA", at positions 524 to 776 of the family's 1533-position model. The record is from RNAcentral.
UACGUAGGGUGCGAGCGUUGUCCGGAAUUAUUGGGCGUAAAGGGCUCGUAGGCGGUCUGUUGCGUCAGGAGUGAAAACUCGGGCUUAACCCCGAGCCUGCUUCUGAUACGGGCAGACUAGAGGUAUGCAGGGGAGAACGGAAUUCCUGGUGUAGCGGUGAAAUGCGCAGGAUAUCAGGAGGAACACCGGUGGCGAAGGCGGUUCUCUGGGCAUUACCUGACGUGAGGAGCGAAAGUGUGGGGAGCGAACGGG